UAUAUACCUAACGGGAUGUAAUUUUAUAAGACUCAGGCACCGGCAAAUCUCGUGUUAAAAACAAAUUCAUUUAAAUGUUCGUCCGAUCCCGUGUACGGAAUUUGUUAUUUUGAGUGCGAAAUCGUGAAAAGGAGCAAUUUUAACAAGUCCAAACCAAUAACGGAGUUGAGACCAGGAGCAGCUACACAAUCGAGAACUAAGAACCCAUAUCAUUGAAGUAUAAAUAAGAAGCAACAGUCCCGAAGGUCGGUUGUCUGGGAUUCAAGCUACUCGAUAAAAAUUGAUAAAGCUGAUAGAAGAGCAUCUCGCUGCGCAAAUGGACAUCAGAUACAUUAAGGCGUAAUGGUACAAGAUCGUACACGAAAAUGAAGGCGAGAAAUUAUCACAUCGAAUAUCAUACAACGGCGUCUAAAGUCAUAUGAUCACGAUUUUAUUUGACAUACUACAUCUCGAAGAUCCCGUCUGUAGAGUAUAAUUUGCAGAAACAAAUAAAACAGGUGAAUGCACGCUCCUCUCUUCUGCACAUCCCCAAAACAUUACCUGAUUGAAGUACGGGCGAAGUUAUGGCUAGGUGGAAGGUGUGGUAUAGCUUGCGUCGUCGGGAGUUCACCACCAUGACUGGUACAGCGAUUUCCCAGAAAUUUGGAAGGAGCAGAUGUGGCCUAUUCUUUUACAGCCAAUAGCAGUAGAACUUGUUUCGUACAAUUUCAAUCUGACAUUUGACACUCACUCUGGUGUUUUAAAGGUAUGGUGAAGCCUGAUAAAUAAUGUAUUCGAAUUUGCCAAAAAGAAACGAUGAAAAAUCCACGACAUCGCAAAAUGAUUGUCGAGUUACAAAAAAAGGCAAAACCGAUGAUUAGUAAAAUCGAAAUAAAAACCCAGCUACCAGAAUGCAGAAAGGGGAUUUGUGCAUGUGGUAAUGGUAAGAUGUUCAUUUUUAUUAUUCCUAGAUGCACUAUACAUACACCAAGAUUGGCUCUUCUAUUUAAAAUAAUGCAUAAAUGCUAAUCUACCAGUAGUAUUAUCUAGUAUUCGAAAGAAGAUAGUUCAAUUCAACUUCAAUUGGGCCAUUAAACUAAAAAUACAG
This is a long non-coding RNA of Topomyia yanbarensis, 1087 nucleotides long. RefSeq lists it as uncharacterized. The transcript is spliced from 3 exons. The record is from RefSeq and is a predicted model, not a curated record. NCBI's taxonomy places the organism in Eukaryota, Metazoa, Arthropoda, Insecta, Diptera, Culicidae.